GACGAACGCUGGCGGCGUGCCUAACACAUGCAAGUCGAACGAGGUCCAAGGGAGCUUGCUCCCUGAAGACCUAGUGGCGAACGGGUGAGUAACACGUGAGAAACCUGCCCUCGAGUGGGGAAUAACCCGGGGAAACCCGGGCUAAUACCGCAUACGCUCCUCUGGUCGCAUGGCCGGAGGAGGAAAGUUUUUCGCUCAAGGAGGGUCUCGCGGCCUAUCAGCUUGUUGGCGGGGUAACGGCCCACCAAGGCUACGAAGGGUAGCUGGUUUGAGAGACCGAUCAGCCACACUGGGACUGAGACGCGGCCCAGACUCCUACGGGAGGCAGCAGUGGGGAGUCUUGCGCAAUGGGCGAAAGCCUGACGCAGCAACGCCGCGUGCGGGAUGCCGGCCUUCGUGGUUGUAAACCGCUUUCAGCAGGGACGAAAAUGACGGUACCUGCAGAAGAAGCUCCGGCUAACUACGUGCCAGCCGCCGCCGUAA
This 483-nucleotide ribosomal RNA is filed under the name uncultured bacterium. RNAcentral's name for it is "partial 16S ribosomal RNA". It matches the Rfam family "Bacterial small subunit ribosomal RNA", at positions 28 to 523 of the family's 1533-position model. The record is from RNAcentral.